RNAcentral lists this non-coding RNA (21 nucleotides) under Caenorhabditis elegans. The record is from RNAcentral. Lineage: Eukaryota; Metazoa; Nematoda; Chromadorea; Rhabditida; Rhabditidae.
UUAACUAUUCAGAAGAAAAAU